GUAGGUGGCAAGCGUUGUCCGGAAUUAUUGGGCGUAAAGCGCGCGCAGGCGGUUCUUUAAGUCUGAUGUGAAAGCCCACGGGCUCAACCGUGGAGGGUCAUUGGAAACUGGAGAACUUGAGUACAGAAGAGGAAAGCGGAAUUCCACGUGUAGCGGUGAAAUGCGUAGAGAUGUGGAGGAACACCAGUGGCGAAGGCGGCUUUCUGGUCUGUAACUGACGCUGAGGCGCGAAAGCGUGGGGAGCAAACAGGAUUAGAUACCCUGGUAGUCCACGCCGUAAACGAUGAGUGCUAAGUGUUAGGGGGUUUCCGCCCCCUUAGUGCUGCAGCUAACGCAUUAAGCACUCCGCCUGGGGAGUACGGCCGCAAAGGCUG
RNAcentral lists this ribosomal RNA (374 nucleotides) under uncultured organism. RNAcentral describes it as "partial 16S ribosomal RNA". It matches the Rfam family "Bacterial small subunit ribosomal RNA", at positions 527 to 896 of the family's 1533-position model. The record is from RNAcentral.